GGGAACGUGCCUUCCGGUUCGGAAUAACCCUGGGAAACUAGGGCUAAUACCGGAUACGCCCUUAUGGGGAAAGGUUUACUGCCGGAAGAUCGGCCCGCGUCUGAUUAGCUAGUUGGUGGGGUAACGGCCUACCAAGGCGACGAUCAGUAGCUGGUCUGAGAGGAUGAUCAGCCACACUGGGACUGAGACACGGCCCAGACUCCUACGGGAGGCAGCAGUGGGGAAUAUUGGACAAUGGGCGCAAGCCUGAUCCAGCCAUGCCGCGUGAGUGAUGAAGGCCUUAGGGUUGUAAAGCUCUUUUAUCCGGGACGAUAAUGACGGUACCGGAGGAAUAAGCCCCGGCUAACUUCGUGCCAGCAGCCGCGGUAAUACGAAGGGGGCUAGCGUUGCUCGGAAUCACUGGGCGUAAAGGGCGCGUAGGCGGCGUUUUAAGUCGGGGGUGAAAGCCUGUGGCUCAACCACAGAAUGGCCUUCGAUACUGGGACGCUUGAGUAUGGUAGAGGUUGGUGGAACUGCGAGU
Molecule: ribosomal RNA, 520 nt
Filed under: Methylobacterium sp. AMS2
Lineage: Bacteria; Pseudomonadati; Pseudomonadota; Alphaproteobacteria; Hyphomicrobiales; Methylobacteriaceae
Also listed under: 56 other names
Description: bacterial SSU rRNA
Rfam family: Bacterial small subunit ribosomal RNA
Source: RNAcentral